This is a long non-coding RNA of Cyprinus carpio carpio, 1450 nucleotides long. The record is from Ensembl. NCBI's taxonomy places the organism in Eukaryota, Metazoa, Chordata, Actinopteri, Cypriniformes, Cyprinidae.
CAGGACUGUACCAAAUGUAAUAUAACCAAACCCUCUCACCAACUACCUGCUGGCCUCUUACAACCUCUAUCCACAACACCCGUGGUCACAUAUAUAGACUUUGUCACAGAUCUACCCUUGUCGGGGGGCUAUACCACUGUCCUCACAGUCAUUGACAGAUUCUCUAAGGCAUGUCGCUUGAUCCCUCUGCCCAAAAUACCCACAGCUCUCGAAACAGCAAAAUCCUUAUGCCAUUAUGUGUUCAGGUUUUAUGGCCUUCCUGAGGACAUAGUCUCCGAUCGGGGUCCACAAUUCACCUCCUGAGUCUGGUCUGCCUUCUGACAGUAACUGGGUAUCAAUGUCAGCCUUACCUCCGGUUAUCACCCUCAAUCCACUGGCUAGGUGGAACGUUUGAACCAAGAGCUCACCCGCUUUCUACGCUCAUACUGCCACCGAAAUCAGGCAAAUUGGAGUCGUUAUCUAUUAUGGGACGAAUAUGCUCAGAACUCCCUCCACAAGCCAGCCACAGGCCUCACUCCUUUCCAAUAUGUUCCGGGUUUCCAACCUCCCUUAUUCCCAAGGUCCGGGGAGCCCUCAGACUUACCUGCUGUUAAUUCAUGGCUCCAAUGGAGCGAGGAGACCUGGAAUGAGGCACAUGUCCACCUUCAACGGACCAUCUGUCGAACAAGGGAACAAGCUGAUCGUCAUCGACUUGCCAAUCCCAACUGUCAGCCUGAUCAGUGGGUCUGGUUGUCUACCCGUGAUCUUCGCCUAAGACUCCCUUGCAAGAAGCUCAGUCCCAGCCCACUGGUGGUUCGAGAGGAGAAGAGGACCAGGAGGAAGCUGGUGACCAGAGAACCCCUCCCAUCAUCGUGGAAGGUGAGGAGGCGUAUAGAGUUCACAAGAUCCUGAAUUCUUAUCGCCGGGGCAGGUUACUCCAGUAUCUAGGGGAUUGGGAGGGGUAUGGUCCGGAGGAGCAGUCCUGGGUCAACGCAGAAGACAUUCUAGAUCCCUCUCUUACCACUGACUUUCAUGGGACCCAUCCAGAUAAACCAGCCCUGAGACCACAUGGAAGACCCCAACGUCUUCUGCCUCCUUGUGUCAGGAGCAGCUCGCAGGGAGGGGGCUCUGUCACAAAUCAAGCCUCUGUGGCUCCUUCUGAUCACCACCAGAGGGAACCAUCACCAGAGUACUAACUCUCCUUGCAGACUUAAUUUCCCAUAACUCUGUGCCUGAGACUGAUUACCUGCACAGGUGCCUAUUAUUAACAUGACUAUUUAAUCAGUGCCUAUCCUCACCUUUGUGCGACAUCUUGUUUUGCUACUGCUGACAUUUCUGAGCAAUUGUACCCUGUUUGAUUACCUGUUGCCUACCUGGAUUGUUUAUACCCAUCUGAUUGUUCUCUGCCUGCCUCUCUGACCCUGCCUGUUUACUGGAUUUGUUCUACUCCCUGUCUGCCACCUGCCUCGAC